This 357-nucleotide ribosomal RNA is filed under the name Neoplatyura noorae. Its description in RNAcentral is "partial 12S ribosomal RNA". The record is from RNAcentral. Lineage: Eukaryota; Metazoa; Arthropoda; Insecta; Diptera; Keroplatidae.
UUAAAAAAUAAAAUUUAAAUAUAUGAGUAGUAAUAGUUAUUUUCUUAAAACUUAAAAAAUUUGGCGGUAUUUUAAUCUAUUCAGAGGAACCUGUUUUAUAAUUGAUAAUCCACAUUGAAUCUUACUUAAAUUUGUUUAAUUUGUAUAUCGUUGUCAAAAAAAUGUCUUAAAAAAGGAAUAAUUUUUUAAUAUUAAAAUUUUAAUGUAUGUCAAAUCAAGGUGCAGUUUAUAUUUAAGUAAAAAUGGGUUACAAUAAAUAUUAUUUAUUAUGAAUUAAAAUUUUAAAUAUUUUUAUGAAAGAGGAUUUGAUAGUAAAUUUUUAAAGAUAAAAAAAUUGAUUUUAGUUCUAAAAUAUGU